This 584-nucleotide ribosomal RNA is filed under the name uncultured bacterium. RNAcentral describes it as "bacterial SSU rRNA". It matches the Rfam family "Bacterial small subunit ribosomal RNA", at positions 338 to 916 of the family's 1533-position model. The record is from RNAcentral.
CCUACGGGAGGCAGCAGUGGGGAAUAUUGGACAAUGGGCGAAAGCCUGAUCCAGCAAUGCCGCGUGUGUGAAGAAGGCCUUCGGGUUGUAAAGCACUUUAAGUUGGGAAGAAAAAGCUCUGGCUAAUAUCUAGAGCCUUGACGGUACCAACAGAAUAAGCACCGGCUAACUCUGUGCCAGCAGCCGCGGUAAUACAGAGGGUGCUAGCGUUAAUCGGAUUUACUGGGCGUAAAGCGUGCGUAGGCGGUUUGAUAAGUCGAUUGUGAAAGCCCCGGGCUAACCUGGGAAUUGCAGUUGAUACUGUCAGACUAGAAAACGGUAGAGGGAGGCGGAACUCCAGGUGUAGCGGUGAAAUGCGUAGAUAUCUGGAAGAACACCGAUGGCGAAGGCAACCUCCUGGGCCUGUUUUGACGCUGAGGCACGAAAGCGUGGGUAGCAAACAGGAUUAGAUACCCUGGUAGUCCACGCCGUAAACGAUGAGAACUUGACGUUGGUUUGCUUAGCAAAUCGGUGUCGUAGCUAACGCGAUAAGUUCUCCGCCUGGGGAGUACGGCCGCAAGGUUGAAACUCAAAUGAAUUGACGG